Molecule: long non-coding RNA, 395 nt
Organism: Calliphora vicina (urban bluebottle blowfly)
Lineage: Eukaryota; Metazoa; Arthropoda; Insecta; Diptera; Calliphoridae
Exons: 2
Source: RefSeq, a predicted model, not a curated record
AUUAAAAAAGAAGAUAAAACUCUACCUUCUAGUGAUGGAGGUAUGAAUGAAAAUGCUACCGUCAAGCUUAGUUUGGAUAUGGAUAUGGUAUCAACAGCCAAAACGGCUGCGACAAUCCGCGCCAAGAAAAUCGAAGAAAACAAAAUGAGAUGGCUUGCAAUGAGACAAAACUCGAUGCCCGUGCAAAUAGAUUCAGAAGUGUUGCGCGUCAUACCCAAAUACAUGAGAAAGAAAAUAAAAAGUGCCGAAGGUGAAAAAAAGAAAAAAGACAGACGUCGAAUGCUUAUAGAUUAGGGAAUAAAACAAUUCCAAAUUUACUUAUAUCACAUCUAAUGCAAAUACAUAUUUCUAUUAAAUAAAAUUUAAUGUUAUCGCACAGAAAAAAAAUCUAUUAA